This 253-nucleotide ribosomal RNA is filed under the name uncultured bacterium. RNAcentral describes it as "partial 16S ribosomal RNA". It matches the Rfam family "Bacterial small subunit ribosomal RNA", at positions 524 to 776 of the family's 1533-position model. The record is from RNAcentral.
UACGUAGGGUGCAAGCGUUAAUCGGAAUUACUGGGCGUAAAGCGUGCGCAGGCGGUUCGCUAAGACCGAUGUGAAAUCCCCGGGCUUAACCUGGGAACUGCAUUGGUGACUGGCGGGCUAGAGUAUGGCAGAGGGGGGUAGAAUUCCACGUGUAGCAGUGAAAUGCGUAGAGAUGUGGAGGAAUACCGAUGGCGAAGGCAGCCCCCUGGGAUAACACUGACGCUCAUGCACGAAAGCGUGGGGAGCAAACAGG